This 71-nucleotide transfer RNA is filed under the name Phrynosoma platyrhinos (Desert horned lizard). RNAcentral's name for it is "tRNA-OTHER". The record is from RNAcentral. Lineage: Eukaryota; Metazoa; Chordata; Lepidosauria; Squamata; Phrynosomatidae.
GCCAGCAUGGCAUAGUGGUUUGAGCAAUUGACCAUAAAUCUGGAGAUCAGGGUUCAAUUCCCACUCGAGCA